AACACAUGCAAGUCGAACGCGCCAAGUAGCAAUACAGGUGUGGGCGCGUGGCGAACGGGUGCGUAACACGUGGAUAACCUUCCUUGAGGUGGGGAAUAACCCAGUGAAAAUUGGGCUAAUACCGCAUAACAUCGCGUAGGCACAUGCUGAUGCGAUCAAAGGCGCAAGUCGCCACAAGAGGGAUCCGCGGCCGAUUAGCUUGUUGGCGAGGUAAUGGCUCACCAAGGCAAUGAUCGGUAGCCGGACUGAGAGGUUGGCCGGCCACACUGGAACUGAGACACGGUCCAGACUCCUACGGGAGGCAGCAGUGGGGAAUCUUGCACAAUGGACGAAAGUCUGAUGCAGCAACGCCGCGUGGGGGAUGAAGCUUCUCGGAGUGUAAACCCCUUUCGACCCGGAAGAAUGCCCGCAAGGGUAUGACGG
Molecule: ribosomal RNA, 423 nt
Filed under: grassland soil clone saf1_118
Lineage: Bacteria
Description: bacterial SSU rRNA
Rfam family: Bacterial small subunit ribosomal RNA
Source: RNAcentral